GAUGAAGAACGCAGCGAAAUGCGAUAAGUAAUGUGAAUUGCAGAAUUCAGUGAAUCACCGAAUCUUUGAACGCACAUUGCGCCCGCCAGUAUUCUGGCGGGCAUGCCUGUUCGAGCGUCAUUUCAACCAUCAAGCCCCAGGCUUGUGUUGGGGACCUGCGGCUGCCGCAGGCCCUGAAAACCAGUGGCGGGCUCGCUGUCACACCGGGCGUAGUAGAUUUUAUCUCGCUCAGGGCGUGCUGCGGGUUCCGGCCGUUAAAAAGCCUUUUUUACCCAAGGUUGACCUCGGAUCAGGUAGGAAGACCCGCUGAACUUAAGCAUAUCAAUAAGCGGAGGA
RNAcentral lists this unclassified non-coding RNA (336 nucleotides) under soil metagenome. RNAcentral describes it as "partial contains 5.8S ribosomal RNA, internal transcribed spacer 2, and large subunit ribosomal RNA". The stretch from base 1 to 120 matches the Rfam family "5.8S ribosomal RNA", at positions 35 to 154 of the family's 154-position model. The record is from RNAcentral.